AGGAGAUCUUCGGAUUCUCUAAACAACAUCAUUUAUCCAGUUAACCACUAAGAACAGGGCCUUUCUCUGAAUCUGACGGAAGUCGAAGAUUUCUUCCAGUGAGCCUGAGGGCCGGCGUCUGCUUCGUCGUCUCAUGAAUCGCAGAUCUGUAAGAUAAGAGAAAGAAAGGGAUACAGGAGUCCCAGUCUCUCUGAUUCUGCACUACGAAGGAUGACAAAUACUGUAGCAAGAAUGGGUUAUUGGGAGAGGUCCGAGAAUGUCCAUGGCUAUGCUUCCAAAU
Long non-coding RNA from Neodiprion fabricii, 280 nucleotides. RefSeq lists it as uncharacterized. Lineage: Eukaryota; Metazoa; Arthropoda; Insecta; Hymenoptera; Diprionidae. The record is from RefSeq and is a predicted model, not a curated record. The transcript is spliced from 3 exons.